CAGAAACAACUGAUAGUGACAAUUCUACCUCUGAGUCUGAGACUCAAAAAGACUCAGAGGAUUCACCAAGAAAACAACCCAGCAAAAAAGCCAAAAAAAGUGAAGAAUCAUCACCAGUGAAGAAGCAAAAAACAAAGAAAAAGACACAGAGAACACCAAAAAAGACACAAUCCAAAAAGAAAAAGGUCGUUGUUGAGCAUUCAUCUCCUGA
Molecule: non-coding RNA, 211 nt
Organism: Arachis ipaensis
Lineage: Eukaryota; Viridiplantae; Streptophyta; Magnoliopsida; Fabales; Fabaceae
Source: RefSeq, a predicted model, not a curated record